RNAcentral lists this ribosomal RNA (253 nucleotides) under uncultured bacterium. RNAcentral describes it as "partial 16S ribosomal RNA". It matches the Rfam family "Bacterial small subunit ribosomal RNA", at positions 524 to 776 of the family's 1533-position model. The record is from RNAcentral.
UACAGAGGGUGCGAGCGUUAAUCGGAAUUACUAGGCGUAAAGCGUGCGUAGACGGUAGCGUAAGUCAGAUGUGAAAGCCCCGGGCUCAACCUGGGAAUUGCAUUUGAGACUGCUCUGCUCGGGUGCGGAAGAGGGAAGCGGAAUUUCCGGUGUAGCGGUGAAAUGCGUAGAUAUCGGAAGGAACACCAGUGGCGAAAGCGGCUUCCUGGUCCGACACCGACGUUCAGGCACGAAAGCGCGGGGAGCAAACAGG